UACGGAGGGUGCAAGCGUUAUUCGGAAUCACUGGGCGUAAAGGGUGCGUAGGCGGUUUGAUAAGUCUGAUGUGAAAUCCUAUGGCUCAACCAUAGAACUGCAUUGGAAACUGUCAGACUAGAAUACUGAAGGGGCAGAUGGAAUUAGUGGUGUAGGGGUAAAAUCCGUAGAUAUCACUAGGAAUACCGAAAGCGAAAGCGAUCUGCUGGGAAGUUAUUGACGCUGAGGCACGAAAGCGUGGGGAGCAAACGGGAUUAGAUACCCUAGUAGUCC
RNAcentral lists this ribosomal RNA (273 nucleotides) under uncultured bacterium. RNAcentral describes it as "partial 16S ribosomal RNA". It matches the Rfam family "Bacterial small subunit ribosomal RNA", at positions 524 to 796 of the family's 1533-position model. The record is from RNAcentral.